RNAcentral lists this ribosomal RNA (538 nucleotides) under Escherichia coli. Its description in RNAcentral is "bacterial SSU rRNA". It matches the Rfam family "Bacterial small subunit ribosomal RNA", at positions 984 to 1522 of the family's 1533-position model. The record is from RNAcentral. Lineage: Bacteria; Pseudomonadati; Pseudomonadota; Gammaproteobacteria; Enterobacterales; Enterobacteriaceae.
ACAUCCACGGAAGUUUUCAGAGAUGAGAAUGUGCCUUCGGGAACCGUGAGACAGGUGCUGCAUGGCUGUCGUCAGCUCGUGUUGUGAAAUGUUGGGUUAAGUCCCGCAACGAGCGCAACCCUUAUCCUUUGUUGCCAGCGGUCCGGCCGGGAACUCAAAGGAGACUGCCAGUGAUAAACUGGAGGAAGGUGGGGAUGACGUCAAGUCAUCAUGGCCCUUACGACCAGGGCUACACACGUGCUACAAUGGCGCAUACAAAGAGAAGCGACCUCGCGAGAGCAAGCGGACCUCAUAAAGUGCGUCGUAGUCCGGAUUGGAGUCUGCAACUCGACUCCAUGAAGUCGGAAUCGCUAGUAAUCGUGGAUCAGAAUGCCACGGUGAAUACGUUCCCGGGCCUUGUACACACCGCCCGUCACACCAUGGGAGUGGGUUGCAAAAGAAGUAGGUAGCUUAACCUUCGGGAGGGCGCUUACCACUUUGUGAUUCAUGACUGGGGUGAAGUCGUAACAAGGUAACCGUAGGGGAACCUGCGGUUGGA